GCUGGAGCAGGAGGUGCGCGAGGUGCACGAGCGCGAGCGGGAGCUGCAGCGCCAGCGGCUCAGCGUCUACGGCACCGCCGAGUUCAAGGAGCCCGCGCCCAGCCUCACGGCAAGCAGGGGUGAUGGAAAGCUGGCAGUGAUCUGGCCUCCCCGCAGAAAGGCGUCGGAGAACGGCUUGGAGCAGGAGGAGCAGAAGCCUUGAGGUUCGAGCCGGCUGGGACCCCCGGCCAGAAGGAACAUGCCCGUCAGAGGCCCGGGCAGGGGCGCCCAGGAGUGCCCUCCGGAUGGGCGGAAGGCCUGGAGAGGGGCCUGCGGUCUGCGCCCGGGAAGAUGAAAUCGACCAGCGCAUCCUUGAACCUGACUUUGUGAAACUGACCAGUCUCGUCUAUAAACUGUUAGUCCCCUUGGGAAACACAA
Ceratotherium simum simum (southern white rhinoceros) is the source of this 417-nucleotide non-coding RNA. The record is from RefSeq and is a predicted model, not a curated record. Lineage: Eukaryota; Metazoa; Chordata; Mammalia; Perissodactyla; Rhinocerotidae.